Molecule: long non-coding RNA, 737 nt
Filed under: Pan troglodytes (chimpanzee)
Lineage: Eukaryota; Metazoa; Chordata; Mammalia; Primates; Hominidae
Description: lncRNA (ENSPTRG00000054295.1)
Source: RNAcentral
CUCUAUGAUAUUGCUUUGUCUUGCUUUAUAUUAUAUGGGAAAAGUAGAAGCAGAAAUUACUUUCCUUUGCAUUUCUAAUGCAAUACUGUGGUCUAUAGCCAGGAGGUUAGUGUAGCAGGAUGACUUGCUAAUUUCCAGAAACCAAAGUGAAGAAUGGGCUAACUCAGAGAUUCAAAGUAGCCUUGGGAUGAUUUUUCAAACCCUCAGUCCAAGAAGAAUGACAGAGAUUGAGCCCACAUAAACCUGGUUGACAGAAAGCUGCCCAUAGUGUAGGUGGUUAAUUUUGUACAACUGAACUUAGAGCUUAGGAUAGGAACAUCUGACUCCAAAAAGGGGCUGACCAGUUGAAAAAGUCCACAGUCCUUACAAAUCUCAGAGAUUUGACCAGGGAAGCAGAAAGCGGAUUUAGCUUGGCAUGUGAAGCUGCCGAAUGAAAACAUUUCAAGUAUGCAAACUAGACUUGUUUUUUCCCCCCUGAAAAGGACUAAUAUGGAAAUCUCAGCUCAUAGAGACCCCUCCGGAAGUUCUUCACAUUACUAGAAGUGAGUGUCAAAGAACUGGCUAUUCAAGAGAGUGUUGGAGAUUCUGGCAAGCAGAGAUUCUUCGGAGCCCAGGUGGAAAGUGAAGCGCUGAGUUGGGGAGAAAUGCUCAUGCCUUCUGCAGACUGUAAGUUUUGGGAGCUUCUGGAGGCAACUCCCUUGGCAGGCGUGUUGGAGUUCUCCGGGCCAGCAGUGCCA